Molecule: RNase P RNA, 344 nt
Filed under: Gammaproteobacteria bacterium
Lineage: Bacteria; Pseudomonadati; Pseudomonadota; Gammaproteobacteria
Description: RNase P RNA component class A
Rfam family: Bacterial RNase P class A
About the family: Ribonuclease P (RNase P) is a ubiquitous endoribonuclease, found in archaea, bacteria and eukarya as well as chloroplasts and mitochondria. Its best characterised activity is the generation of mature 5'-ends of tRNAs by cleaving the 5'-leader elements of precursor-tRNAs.
Source: RNAcentral
GAAGUCGGUCGGAUGGUCGCUGGAUAUAUAUGUAUCGAGAGGAAAGUCCGGGCUCCAUAGAGCAAGGUGCUAGCUAACUGCUAGGUACGGUAACGUAACGGAAAGUGCUGCAGAGAAUAGACCGCCUAUUUUCUUUAGGCAAGGGUGAAAAGGUGCGGUAAGAGCGCACCGCACAUUUGGUGACAAAUGUGGCAAGGUAAACCCCACUUGGAGCAAGCUCAAAUAGGAUGGCAAUUAUGCUGCUCGUAUAUGUCAUCGGGUAGAGUGCUAAAGAUAUUUGGCAACAAAUAUUGUAGAUGAAUGACCAUCAAUUACAGAACCCGGCUUAUAGACUGACUUCAUUU